This 257-nucleotide ribosomal RNA is filed under the name uncultured bacterium. Its description in RNAcentral is "partial 16S ribosomal RNA". It matches the Rfam family "Bacterial small subunit ribosomal RNA", at positions 524 to 776 of the family's 1533-position model. The record is from RNAcentral.
UACGGAGGGUGCGAGCGUUGUCCGGAAUCACUGGGCGUAAAGGGCGCGUAGGCGGCUGGGGGAAGUCGGUGGUGAAAGCUCGUGGCUCAACUACGAGUCGGCCAACGAUACUCCUCGGCUCGAGCACUGUAGAGGCAGGUGGAAUUCCGGGUGUAGCGGUGAAAUGCGCAGAUAUCAGGAGGAACACCAAUGGCGAAGGCAGCACUCUGGGACGUGACUGACGGCUGAGACGCGAAAAGCGUGGGGGAGCAAACAGG